This 465-nucleotide ribosomal RNA is filed under the name uncultured bacterium. Its description in RNAcentral is "partial 16S ribosomal RNA". It matches the Rfam family "Bacterial small subunit ribosomal RNA", at positions 28 to 507 of the family's 1533-position model. The record is from RNAcentral.
GACGAACGCUGGCGGCGUGCUUAACACAUGCAAGUCGAACGGAAAGGCCCUGCUUGCAGGGUACUCGAGUGGCGAACGGGUGAGUAACACGUGGGUGAUCUGCCCUGCACUUCGGGAUAAGCCUGGGAAACUGGGUCUAAUACCGGAUAGGAGCCAUUUUUAGUGUGAUGGUUGGAAAGUUUUUUCGGUGUAGGAUGAGCUCGCGGCCUAUCAGCUUGUUGGUGGGGUAAUGGCCUACCAAGGCGGCGACGGGUAGCCGGCCUGAGAGGGUGGACGGCCAAAUUGGGAACGGGAAAAGGCCCAGACCCCGAAGGGAGGGAUCAGGGGGGAAUAUUGCACAAUGGGCGCAAGCCUGAUGCAGCGACGCCGCGUGGGGGAUGACGGCCUUCGGGUUGUAAACUCCUUUCGCUAGGGACGAAGCUUUUUGUGACGGUACCUAGAGAAGAAGCACCGGCUAACUACGUG